Molecule: small nuclear RNA, 106 nt
Filed under: Octopus vulgaris (common octopus)
Lineage: Eukaryota; Metazoa; Mollusca; Cephalopoda; Octopoda; Octopodidae
Also listed under: 1 other name
Source: RNAcentral
UUGCUUUUACGGCGGUAUGUAUUCUAAAAUUGGAACGAUACAGAGAGGAUUAGCAUGGCCCCUGCGCAAAGAUAACACGCAAAUUCGUGAAGCGUUCCAUAUUUUU